GGCAUUGCAGGGUCCUGCAUGGAAUCCUUUCUUCUCCUUGGCCAAUGGAAUUUGACUCUGUCCUCACUCUCUACACAGCCAGUGAGGCCUGCAAACAGCUGCUUCAUAGCGCUCCUCCAUGCAGGCUUGUGCCCUGGGUGCCCAGUCUUACCUAGGAAAGCACUGGCACCUAGGAUCCACAGGCUUCCAUGGGUGAAGAAAAUAAGAAUAAGACAUGGGGUCAUUCACAGGUCACUGACAGCUUACAGAUUUGAACCUAUGCAGCUGAGGUCUCACUGCCUAUUCAGGCCAAGGCUGGGAGUGUUAAAAUUUUCCAGCUAAGGCAGGAGACUUGAACCCUUCCCAGCAGGCAGGCUGAGCUGGUCCAGAACUAGCGUCCACUGAGCCUUUUAUUGGGUGACCCUUUUGUGGAUUAGAUGCUUGGCCAGAAGCCUCCGUCCAGUGGUGGGACUUGGAUGCUCAGAGAACAUGUGGGCCAGCAGCCACCAUCCUAGCGAAUAACUAUGUCUGUUUCUGCAGAGAAACGGUUCCUACGCCGCUCCCGCUCUGGGGAUAUCCUAGCCAAGAACCCAGUGGUGCGCUCCAAAAGCUACAAUACUCCCCUGCUCAAUCCUGUGGCUGAGCAUGAGGCAGAAGGCACAGCGUCCGGUGGCACAAGCAUCCGCAGACACUCAGUCUCCGAGAUGACAUCUUGUCCUGAGCCCCAGGGCUUUGUGGACACGCCUGACCAGGGCCCUUCGGGGACCUUCAGGUCUUCCCCAUCACCCCACUCAGGGCCUUGCCCCAGCAGACUAUACCCCCCUGCCCAUUCCCCCGAACAGGGCCCAGACCAUGGCUCCCCACCCACCUCCAGCCCUGAGACACUCGUGGACCAGAUCCUGGAGUCCGUGGACUCAGACUCCGAAGGGAUAUUCAUUGACUUUGGGCGGGGUAGUCGCUCCAGUGUGUCUGACUUUGAGGCAGCAGGCGGCCGGCCGAGUGUUGUGUGAUGGCCUGAGGUUAGUUCAUGUUUUUACUGCCCCUGUGUGUUUGCGUGUCUGUGUAUGUGUGUGUGAGAGACUUGUUACUCUUUCCAAACCUUGCCGGCCCCCUGUCUGUCACUGCCUCAAGUCACUUUGUACUCCCAAUCUGUUGGAAAACCCACCCACCCAGAUGCAUACUCAACCACCUGGAGGAAUGGGCCACCAUGUGCCCUCCCACCUGCCCCACUCUCGGUGCCCACAACUUACCCAGGAAAAUGUGAACCAGUGGGCUCUGCCUACGCCAGCCCAGCCUGGCCUUCAUAGUGACGGGACUCAAGCCACAGACAGACCUGCCUGCCUGCCUCCCUCUGCCCUCCGUGGCCACAAAACAGGAAGGCAUGAAAUAAAGUUAGAGCUCCAGGCUCCAGUCUGCCCCCUGGUGUCCUGGGA
Molecule: long non-coding RNA, 1412 nt
Filed under: Rattus norvegicus (Norway rat)
Lineage: Eukaryota; Metazoa; Chordata; Mammalia; Rodentia; Muridae
Description: long non-coding RNA NONRATT026180
Source: RNAcentral